CACGUAGGGUGCAAGCGUUGUCCGGAAUCAUUGGGCGUAAAGAGCUCGUAGGCGGCUUAGUAAGUCGGGUGUGAAAUCCCCAGGCUUAACCUGGGAACUGCAUUCGAGACUGCAUUGCUAGAGUAUGGGAGAGGGAAGUGGAAUUUCCGGUGUAGCGGUGAAAUGCGUAGAUAUCGGAAGGAACAUCAGUGGCGAAAGCGACUUCCUGGACCAAUACUGACGCUCAUGUGCGAAAGCGUGGGGAGCAAACAGG
RNAcentral lists this ribosomal RNA (253 nucleotides) under uncultured bacterium. RNAcentral describes it as "partial 16S ribosomal RNA". It matches the Rfam family "Bacterial small subunit ribosomal RNA", at positions 524 to 776 of the family's 1533-position model. The record is from RNAcentral.